Molecule: transfer RNA, 85 nt
Filed under: Planctomycetota bacterium
Lineage: Bacteria; Pseudomonadati; Planctomycetota
Also listed under: 2 other names
Description: Planctomycetes bacterium tRNA-Leu
Rfam family: tRNA
About the family: Transfer RNA (tRNA) molecules are approximately 80 nucleotides in length. Their secondary structure includes four short double-helical elements and three loops (D, anti-codon, and T loops).
Source: RNAcentral
GCGGGAAUGGCGGAAUUGGCAGACGCGCUAGGUUGAGGGCCUAGUGGGAUAAUAUCCCGUGCAGGUUCAAGUCCUGUUUCCCGCA